This 84-nucleotide ribosomal RNA is filed under the name Acanthosepion pharaonis. Lineage: Eukaryota; Metazoa; Mollusca; Cephalopoda; Sepiida; Sepiidae. The record is from RNAcentral.
CUCUUCUUAAUCACCGAAGUUAAGCAACGUCGAGGCUGGUCAGUACCUAGAUGGGAGACCGCUUGGGAAUACCAGGUGCUGUAA